GAAUAUUCCACAAUGCGCGAAAGCGUGAUGGAGCAAUGCCGCGUGCAGGAUGAAGCCCCUCGGGGUGUAAACUGCUGUCUGGGUUUAGAAACCAUGAUCAGACCCAAAGGAAGCGGCGGCUAACCCUGUGCCAGCAGCCGCGGUAAUACAGAGGCCUCGAGCGUUGCGCGGAAUUACUGGGCGUAAAGGGUGCGUAGGCCGAUAUGCAAGUGCUUUGUGAAAUCCCAGAGCUUAACUCUGGAACUGCUUGGCAGACUGCAUGGCUUGAGGACGGUAGGGGUUGCUGGAACGGUUGGUGGAGCGGUGAAAUGCGUAGAUAUCAACCGGAACGCCAAAGGUGAAGACCAGCAACUGGGCCGAUUCUGACGCUGAGGCACGAAAGCGUGGGGAGCAAACAGG
Molecule: ribosomal RNA, 399 nt
Filed under: uncultured bacterium
Lineage: Bacteria
Description: bacterial SSU rRNA
Rfam family: Bacterial small subunit ribosomal RNA
Source: RNAcentral